GAAAAGAGAGGAAACCCUAGCCGCAAUAGAGAGCAGUAGAGGAAGAGAGAGGAGAGGAAGAAGAACUCGAAUUGUUGGUGGUUGAUCAAAGAAAGAAAAGGAAAUUGUCAUUUCCAAUGCCAACCAAAGGGCGAACGACGAGAGACUCACCGACGCACCAUAGCCACCACUCGGGAAUAAAGAGAUGAGGAAUAAAAUGAUGAACUGCAAAUAGACCUACCCUUGGAAGUCUAUGAGGAUCUCGUGGAUCCAUAAGUCUGAGUGCAUGACUGUUCUCGCACUCUUAUGAAUUCCAGUAGCAUAGUGAAAGAAGUGGCCCUUAUGUUUUAUAUUUUGUACCCACUUCUGGUCUCAACGAUGUAUGUAUUUAGAACAUUAUAUAUAUAUUUCUAAGGGAUUUGUUAAGAUUUAAUUUUGCUGCAUAAAUAUUAUCAUACACUCAUUAUUCUAAAUCUGUAUUUGAUACUCAUUUGUCUUAAUUGAUGCAUGCGGAUUUAUGUGGACCAA
This is a long non-coding RNA of Carica papaya (papaya), 507 nucleotides long. RefSeq lists it as uncharacterized. NCBI's taxonomy places the organism in Eukaryota, Viridiplantae, Streptophyta, Magnoliopsida, Brassicales, Caricaceae. The record is from RefSeq and is a predicted model, not a curated record.